GACGGUCCGGCGCGGCCGGCGCCGGUGCGGGCGCCGCUGACGCCGGUGCAGGCGGCGCCGCCGGUUCCGCCGGAGGGUGUCGC
This 83-nucleotide transfer RNA is filed under the name Streptomyces lucensis JCM 4490. Its description in RNAcentral is "tRNA-Val". Lineage: Bacteria; Bacillati; Actinomycetota; Actinomycetes; Kitasatosporales; Streptomycetaceae. The record is from RNAcentral.